This 1021-nucleotide ribosomal RNA is filed under the name uncultured bacterium. RNAcentral's name for it is "bacterial SSU rRNA". It matches the Rfam family "Bacterial small subunit ribosomal RNA", at positions 447 to 1482 of the family's 1533-position model. The record is from RNAcentral.
UAAGUGGCGGGACGUGUCUAUUUUGUAUGUACUAUGAAUAAGGAUCGGCUAACUCCGUGCCAGCAGCCGCGGUAAUACGGAGGAUCCGAGCGUUAUCCGGGAUUUAUUGGGUUNAAANGGUGCGUAGGCGGCNUUUUAAGUCAGCGGUGAAANUCUGUGGCCCAACCAUAGAANNCCGUUGAAACUGGGGGGCUUGAGUAUGUUUGAGGCAGGCGNNAUGCGUGGUGUAGCGGUGAAAUGCAUAGAUAUCACGCAGAACCCCGAUUGCGAAGGCAGCCUGCCAAGCCAUGACUGACGCUGAUGCACGAAAGCGUGGGGAUCAAACAGGAUUAGAUACCCUGGUAGUCCACGCAGUAAACGAUGAUCACUAGCUGUUUGCGAUACACUGUAAGCGGCACAGCGAAAGCGUUAAGUGAUCCACCUGGGGAGUACGCCGGCAACGGUGAAACUCAAAGGAAUUGACGGGGGCCCGCACAAGCGGAGGAACAUGUGGUUUAAUUCGAUGAUACGCGAGGAACCUUACCCGGGUUUGAACGCAUUCGGACCGAGGUGGAAACACCUUUUCUAGCAAUAGCCGUUUGCGAGGUGCUGCAUGGUUGUCGUCAGCUCGUGCCGUGAGGUGUCGGCUUAAGUGCCAUAACGAGCGCAACCCUUGCCACUAGUUACUAACAGGUAAAGCUGAGGACUCUGGUGGGACUGCCAGCGUAAGCUGCGAGGAAGGCGGGGAUGACGUCAAAUCAGCACGGCCCUUACAUCCGGGGCGACACACGUGUUACAAUGGCGUGGACAAAGGGAAGCCACCUGGCGACAGGGAGCGAAUCCCCAAACCACGUCUCAGUUCGGAUCGGAGUCUGCAACCCGACUCCGUGAAGCUGGAUUCGCUAGUAAUCGCGCAUCAGCCAUGGCGCGGUGAAUACGUUCCCGGGCCUUGUACACACCGCCCGUCAAGCCAUGGGAGCCGGGGGUACCUGAAGUCCGUAACCGCGAGGAUCGGCCUAGGGUAAAACUGGUGACUGGGGCU